CAGGUCUCAUGGAGGGCACUGCUAAGCCUGACUAUGCUACCUGCGUCAAGAUCUCCACUGAUGCAUCCAUCAAGGAGAUGAUUCCACCUGGUGCCCUUGUCAUUCUUACACCUCUUAUUGUUGGAACAUUCUUUGGCGUGGAGACCCUAUCCGGUGUUCUGGCUGGUUCCCUUGUUUCUGGUGUGCAGGUAAUGUUGUGACCAUAGGCAACUACACAUAUCUGUGACUGCUGGUUUAUUUAUAUGCAAUAAUCAAUUUGAAAUUUGGGAAUGAAGUAUAUACUUGUGGAUAUUCGAUAUUGAUCGCCAAUUAUUGAUUUGAAUAUAUCAGAUAGCGAUAUCUGCUUCUAACACUGGUGGUGCAUGGGACAAUGCUAAGAAGUACAUUGAGGUAAACAUUUUGACUCUAUUGUUAGGUCAGAUUCUUUAAUCAACUAGCUCUUAGUUGUAUUUCUCCUACGAAUGUUGGAAGAUGUCCCGAGUUUGAAUUCUCCUCCCUGUUGAUCCAUCGGGUUAAGUUAUCUGUUUACUAAAAUUUGAAACGAAUCAUGGAUUAAUAUGGGGGUUUUGGUUUUCAGGCCGGUGCUUCAGAGCAUGCAAGGACCCUUGGCCCGAAGGGUUCAGACCCACACAAGGCAGCAGUGAUUGGUGACACCAUUGGAGACCCGCUCAAGGACACCUCAGGGCCAUCACUCAACAUCCUUAUUAAGCUCAUGGCAGUGGAGUCCCUCGUGUUUGCUCCCUUCUUCGCCACUCAUGGCGGCCUACUUUUCAAGAUCUUUUGAGGGAAGGAGUGUAUGAUGGCCAUUGUAUCAGGGGGA
Molecule: long non-coding RNA, 820 nt
Filed under: Malus domestica (apple)
Lineage: Eukaryota; Viridiplantae; Streptophyta; Magnoliopsida; Rosales; Rosaceae
Description: long non-coding RNA (MDOM_LNC017655)
Source: RNAcentral